Molecule: ribosomal RNA, 465 nt
Filed under: Vreelandella stevensii
Lineage: Bacteria; Pseudomonadati; Pseudomonadota; Gammaproteobacteria; Oceanospirillales; Halomonadaceae
Description: partial 16S ribosomal RNA
Rfam family: Bacterial small subunit ribosomal RNA
Source: RNAcentral
CCUACGGGUGGCAGCAGUGGGGAAUAUUGGACAAUGGGCGAAAGCCUGAUCCAGCCAUGCCGCGUGUGUGAAGAAGGCCUUCGGGUUGUAAAGCACUUUCAGUGGGGAAGAAAGCCUUGGGGCUAAUACCCUCGAGGAAGGACAUCACCCACAGAAGAAGCACCGGCUAACUCCGUGCCAGCAGCCGCGGUAAUACGGAGGGUGCGAGCGUUAAUCGGAAUUACUGGGCGUAAAGCGCGCGUAGGCGGUCUGAUAAGCCGGUUGUGAAAGCCCCGGGCUCAACCUGGGAACGGCAUCCGGAACUGUCAGGCUAGAGUGCAGGAGAGGAAGGUAGAAUUCCCGGUGUAGCGGUGAAAUGCGUAGAGAUCGGGAGGAAUACCAGUGGCGAAGGCGGCCUUCUGGACUGACACUGACGCUGAGGUGCGAAAGCGUGGGUAGCAAACAGGAUUAGAUCCCCUGGUAGUC